Molecule: long non-coding RNA, 2506 nt
Filed under: Drosophila guanche
Lineage: Eukaryota; Metazoa; Arthropoda; Insecta; Diptera; Drosophilidae
Source: RNAcentral
ACAUACCGAUGCUGUCGGCGAUGGCUCUUAUAUAGACUUAUAGUCUCGCAUAUUGACCACGAGACCAGAGGCGGGGGCUCAGUGAAACACCUUUGCCCCGCCCAUUGGGGGAUUGAUUUUUAACGAGCAUGGACGCUCGAUGCGCCAUCAAUUCUUUUCGUAUUUUUUAUCCUCUCUCUUUGUCGACCCGCUUUAAUGCUGGUUGUAAAAAAUUAUGGAAAAACAAUUUUUAAUGGACUAAAUUGCUGCAAAAAUGGAUGCCAUGCGUCCGGCAUUAAAGGGGUUAAGAGUGCAUAAAAACAGAGAAUUAUUUCCGUUAAAUGCAUUGCAUAGUGCGGUUCGUUAAGGUCCUACUAUGGAUAUGUCCAUUGAGGGGAUUUGCAGUCGAACAAAUUGUACAUACAUAAGCGUAUGGAAAAAGAGGUUUUACUAAGCUAUGAUUAAAGUAUUCUCCUGCAUGGCUGACUCUUGAUCUCCCACACUGGCAUUAUACUCCCAGAAGUCCAUUCGCAGUCGCAACAGAAGCGAGCCCUGCCAAGAAUCAACAUGACACCGAGCCCACCCUAAUCCCUGGGCAAAGCCAAUCAAAUCUUAAAAUAACACACUAAACACUCAAAAAUUCCGCACAGAGAAGAGGAGCAGCAGCAGUCGCCCCCAAGAACUUUGUGUGGCCUAAGCCACUGGCUAACAUUUAAAUUCCCGGCUGGAGCGGCACUUUGUUGCUUUAAGCUGCAACAAGAACAUCCAUAGCUCUAAGUGGCAAAGUAAACAUGGCAUAGAUGUCGCAGUCGGUGCGGUAUCCCGGACACAUGAACGGAAAGUCCGCCCCAUGGAAAACUUUCUGGCGAAUGCCUCGCGGCCAAUAUGCAUAGACACACACACACACACGAGGAACUCCUGCUCCUGGUCCCCUGCUUGCCGGGUGUCCUGUUGUCCUGGUCUACGUGUUAAUUUGGUUCAGCGUAAUUGUAACUUGACAUGCAUGCACCGGAGGGUGGUGCCUUGUGGAGAACCCAAAACUGGAAAGUGUUUUAAUUGAAUUAUUUUCAUUGUCGCCCCAGCUCGAGCUGUUGCCUGCUGGCAUUAUUAACUUUUCUUGUUGCUACAAUUUAUGCAAACUUUCUAAAAAUAAAAAAAGAGCACCCGCUCACACAGAGAGAUACAACCAAACACACACAUACAGAUACAACUUGAACCCCAAGCAACAAAAAGUUAAAUGAGUUAAACGAGCAAUUUUAUGAGCAUGUCGAAAGUUUUGCGAAUGCCCCGAAAUACCAAGAAGAAAAAAAGCGACAACUGAAGCAUUCGAUUUGUGUCCGUGGAAUGAAAUGGAAGUUUAGCACGCGGUUUAGGCCGCGGGCUUUGCACAACAAAAUGGGGAUGGGGAUUGGUCAUCCUGCUCCUCCUUCUCAAUCUGGAGUUUAGUCGAGGUGUUGCUGUGGAGCAUCGAUUGAUUGCAGGCAUUUGCAGGAGAGGUUGUUGCUGUUAGAAAUCCAAUUAUCCGACAGCCAACACUUGACCCACAACUUUCCCCUCAAAUUCUGCUGCUGGCCAAUACCACAGUUAUGCCCAAAACUAUAAUCUCUCAACCCAGUUCUACUCCACCUCCACUCCACUUGCUCAUUCUUAUCGCAUCAGUCGGCAAACAUUUUCAAUUUCAAUAGCCUAACGAGUUGUUGUUCGGGCUGUUCUACUCUUUUCUCUACACUCCGAAGAAAACAACAGUUACUUCGUGUGGAUAUCAAAGGGACAAACGUCAAAUCACUAAUGUUUCCCUUGUUUUUUCUCAGUGUACAUGCCUUUGUGGCCCUGAGCAAAAGCGCAUAAAAAUGCUCGCCCCCAAAAAGGCCAAAUGCAAAUUCCGAAAUGCGGCCAAAAAGGCAACAAGGAAAUAAGCCAUUCACACUCUGGCUGAUACGGAAGCUGAUACGAGAGAAAGAGAGAGUGCAUGGAAUGGGGAAUCGUGUGAGGGAUAUACAUACAUGUACAAAUGUACACAUGUAUGUGUAUGUGUGGAUUCUAAUUCAAAGGCCAAACAGCAGCCACAAUGCCAACAUCCACAUCCACAUGCGGAGCAGAGCAGAAGAGUAGAGAAGAGAAUAAGAGCUGGUGGGAAAAAGAGAAGAAGAGAGCGGGUAAGGGAGAGGUUGCACGAUGUGCAAAAUGUUCUUAAUUCUCAAUUCAUAUGCAAAUUUAUUUUAUCGCCCGCUCUGGCUGCCGGCUGGCUGGAUAACCGUCCGCCCGACAGCCUCGAAUGGGUGCUGCUGCUGCUGCCUGCAACAACAAUGAAGGAUUGUGGCCAGAAUCCGAAGCGGAACACCCCAACUCACACAACCCAUUUCAAUCAUCCAUGUCAGUGUACAGGCUACAUUUAGGAGUCCAGGCCAGUCUCGUUCCGCUCCCGUUCGUACCGGCUCGUUAUUGCUUGUAACUGUGUAUUUGAUGGCCUGCUCCUGACUGCACCGCUUGAUAAUUGAUCGCCGGCAUUAAAAAUGUUCAGGAAAAC